UCUUCAUGGGUUUCUGUGUGCAGUCUUGGGGAGAGAAGCUGAGAUCUUCCUCCAGUCUGAACAUUGAGUGGCAUCAAGAUUGCAAAGAAACAAGAAAGGUUCUUAACUGAAAGAAAGACAGUCAAGGAAAAAUAGUCAAAUGGGAAAUUAAAUACAGAAAAGAAAAGAAUAGCUUUGAACCAGGACCGCUGAGCCAGCAUCUGAUACUUCUCAAAGCAGUUUCUCUAACAACAUGGGCUGGUGCGUAGUCUCAAAGCUGAGACAGCUGAGCAGGACUUCCUUGUCUAGUAAAAUGAGUCUACAGGGCAAGCUGAAGGCUCUUGUCCCAUGAGCAAGGAUGACCAAUCUCCUCAAUCCUCCCAGGUGAGCUGGAGACUCUGGAACAAACAUUCAGUGCCUGGCCAGCCAGCCCAGA
This 415-nucleotide long non-coding RNA is filed under the name Aotus nancymaae (Ma's night monkey). RNAcentral's name for it is "lncRNA (ENSANAG00000039525.1)". Lineage: Eukaryota; Metazoa; Chordata; Mammalia; Primates; Aotidae. The record is from RNAcentral.